GUCUAUGGCCAUGCCUCCCUGAACAUACCCAAUCUCAUCUGAUCUUGGAAGCUAAGCAGGGUUGGGCCUGGCUAGUACUUGGAUGGGAGGCCGCCUAGGAAGACCAGGUGCUGUAGGUG
RNAcentral lists this ribosomal RNA (119 nucleotides) under Pteropus alecto (black flying fox). The record is from RNAcentral. RNAcentral also lists the same sequence under 1 other name. Lineage: Eukaryota; Metazoa; Chordata; Mammalia; Chiroptera; Pteropodidae.